RNAcentral lists this transfer RNA (72 nucleotides) under Camelus bactrianus (Bactrian camel). It matches the Rfam family "tRNA". Rfam says of the family: Transfer RNA (tRNA) molecules are approximately 80 nucleotides in length. RNAcentral also lists the same sequence under 2 other names. Lineage: Eukaryota; Metazoa; Chordata; Mammalia; Artiodactyla; Camelidae. The record is from Rfam by way of RNAcentral.
GAGAGUAUAGCUCAGUGGUAGAGUGUGUGCUUUGCAUGCACAAGGUCCUGGGUUCAAUCCCCAGUGCCUCCG